RNAcentral lists this ribosomal RNA (468 nucleotides) under uncultured bacterium. Its description in RNAcentral is "partial 16S ribosomal RNA". It matches the Rfam family "Bacterial small subunit ribosomal RNA", at positions 28 to 507 of the family's 1533-position model. The record is from RNAcentral.
GACGAACGCUGGCGGCGUGCUUAACACAUGCAAGUCGAACGGAAAGGCCCUGCUUUUGUGGGGUGCUCGAGUGGCGAACGGGUGAGUAACACGUGAGUAACCUGCCCUUGACUUUGGGAUAACUUCAGGAAACUGGGGCUAAUACCGGAUAGGAGCUCCUGCUGCAUGGUGGGCGUUGGAAAGUUUCGGCGGUUGGGGAUGGACUCGCGGCUUAUCAGCUUGUUGGUGGGGUAGUGGCUUACCAAGGCUUUGACGGGUAGCCGGCCUGAGAGGGUGACCGGCCACAUUGGGACUGAGAUACGACCCAGACUCCUACAGGAGGCAGCAGUGCAGAAUAUUCCACAAUGGGCGGAAGCCUGAUGCAGCAACGCCGCGUGCGGGAUGACGGCCUUCGGGUUGUAAACCGCUUUCGCCUGUGACGAAGCGUGAGUGACGGUAAUGGGUAAAGAAGCACCGGCUAACUACGUG